RNAcentral lists this ribosomal RNA (499 nucleotides) under uncultured bacterium. RNAcentral describes it as "partial 16S ribosomal RNA". It matches the Rfam family "Bacterial small subunit ribosomal RNA", at positions 30 to 523 of the family's 1533-position model. The record is from RNAcentral.
AUUGAACGCUGGCGGAAUGCUUUACACAUGCAAGUCGAACGGCAGCACGGACUUCGGUCUGGUGGCGAGUGGCGAACGGGUGAGUAAUAUAUCGGAACGUGCCCAGUCGUGGGGAUAACGUAGCGAAAGCUACGCUAAUACCGCAUACGAUCUACGGAUGAAAGCGGGGGAUCGCAAGACCUCGCGCGAUUGGAGCGGCCGAUAUCAGAUUAGGUAGUUGGUGAGGUAAAGGCGCAACAAGCCGACGAUCUGUAGCUGGUCUGAGAGGACGACCAGCCACACGGGGACUGAGACACGGCCCAGACUCCUACGGGAGGCAGCAGUGGGGAAUUUUGGACAAUGGACGCAAGUCUGAUCCAGCCAUUCCGCGUGCAGGACGAAGGCCUUCGGGUUGUAAACUGCUUUUGUACAGAACGAAAAGGUUUCUAUUAAUACUAGGGGCUCAUGACGGUACUGUAAGAAUAAGCACCGGCUAACUACGUGCCAGCCGCCGCGGUAA